GGGGAAUCUUGCGCAAUGGGGGAAACCCUGACGCAGUGACGCCGCGUGAACGAUGAAGUCCUUCGGGAUGUAAAGUUCUGUCAGGCGGGAAGAACCUCCCCCCGAUGCAAAUCGGGGGGAAAUGACGGUACCGCCAGAGGAAGCACCGGCUAAUUCCGUGCCAGCAGCCGCGGUAAGACGGAGGGUGCAAGCGUUGUUCGGAAUUACUAGGCGUAAAGCGCGUGUAGGUGGUUAGUUAAGUCGGAUGUGAAAAUUCCAAGCUUAACUUGGAACGGGCAUUCGAAACUGGUUAACUUGAGUGUAGGAGAGGAGAGCGGAAUUCCUAGUGUAGCGGUGAAAUGCGUAGAUAUUAGGAAGAACACCGGUGGCGAAGGCGGCUCUCUGGCCUAAAACUGACACUGAGACGCGAAAGCGUGGGUAGCAAACAG
Molecule: ribosomal RNA, 428 nt
Filed under: uncultured bacterium
Lineage: Bacteria
Description: bacterial SSU rRNA
Rfam family: Bacterial small subunit ribosomal RNA
Source: RNAcentral